GAUGAACGCUGGCGGCGUGCUUAACACAUGCAAGUCGAACGGUGAACACGGAGCUUGCUCUGUGGGAUCAGUGGCGAACGGGUGAGUAACACGUGAGCAACCUGCCCCUGACUCUGGGAUAAGCGCUGGAAACGGCGUCUAAUACUGGAUAUGUGACGUGACCGCAUGGUCUGCGUUUGGAAGGAUUUUUCGGUUGGGGAUGGGCUCGCGGCCUAUCAGCUUGUUGGUGAGGUAAUGGCUCACCAAGGCGUCGACGGGUAGCCGGCCUGAGAGGGUGACCGGCCACACUGGGACUGAGACACGGCCCAGACUCCUACGGGAGGCAGCAGUGGGGAAUAUUGCACAAUGGGCGCAAGCCUGAUGCAGCAACGCCGCGUGAGGGAUGACGGCCUUCGGGUUGUAAACCUCUUUUAGCAGGGAAGAAGCGAAAGUGACGGUACCUGCAGAAAAAGCGCCGGCUAACUACGUG
RNAcentral lists this ribosomal RNA (469 nucleotides) under uncultured bacterium. Its description in RNAcentral is "partial 16S ribosomal RNA". It matches the Rfam family "Bacterial small subunit ribosomal RNA", at positions 28 to 507 of the family's 1533-position model. The record is from RNAcentral.